Parasteatoda tepidariorum (common house spider) is the source of this 383-nucleotide non-coding RNA. Lineage: Eukaryota; Metazoa; Arthropoda; Arachnida; Araneae; Theridiidae. The record is from RefSeq and is a predicted model, not a curated record.
UUUAAAAGAAAUACGUCCCUAUUUUGAGAAGGACAAAUGGUACAAAAAUCCAAGUAGUUGUUACAUAUUUUCAUGGUUUUUACUUCAAGUUAAUCAUCCUUACUUAGCAGACUAUUUAUGUGAAGUUUUCUCACCACCACAUAUAUUUAUGUUGGACAGUCAUCAAAAAUGUCAUCAUCUUAUUGCCAUAGAGUGCUUCAGUCAUAUACUUGAUAAUGUUCCUCCAACUUUGAUAAAAAUUGACAAUAGAGCAGAUGUUAUUUAUUCAUUAUUAAAAGGUUACACGCACAGUUCUGAUGAAGAUAUUAUAGCUGCAUUAGCACCUUGUUUUUUAAAAUUGCCAGAUUUCAAGUACCAAAAGGUAAGAUAGAAAUUUUGUUUCA